This 249-nucleotide long non-coding RNA is filed under the name Oryza sativa tropical japonica subgroup. RNAcentral describes it as "lncRNA OsCMeo_01g0047270". Lineage: Eukaryota; Viridiplantae; Streptophyta; Magnoliopsida; Poales; Poaceae. RNAcentral also lists the same sequence under 1 other name. The record is from RNAcentral.
AUCGGACGUCCGAUCCCUAGUCCUCUCCGAUUCUCCCAAUCUCCCCCUCUCGUCUGCCUCAACCUCAAGCCAAUCGCGCUCACGCUGGGAGCAGACCGGUCGCCGGUGGCGGUAUCAGGGAGUAACGUGUUCCGACGAGGGGCGGCUAGCCGGCUAUACUGGGAGCAUAACGAGCCCUGCCGGCGGGGGGCGAACGACAUCGAGGGACGCUUAGCCGCUCGGAGGGCGGUGGAUUUUGUUCUCUGGUAG